RNAcentral lists this unclassified non-coding RNA (997 nucleotides) under Hevea brasiliensis (rubber tree). The record is from RNAcentral. Lineage: Eukaryota; Viridiplantae; Streptophyta; Magnoliopsida; Malpighiales; Euphorbiaceae.
GGAAGUCAAAGUGGCUACAAUGGUAAAAAGUUGCAUUUCACUUUCUGGCAAGAAGCUUCUUUGGAAGCUUGUCCAAAGGGGUAGACUUGAGCAAGAAAAGCCUGGCUGCCCUCUCUUGCAAAGUACCUCCACACUUCAAGCCACGUGCUUGCAGUUCGGACUUUAGCCUUUCCAAACCAAGAACCUCCAUUUCAGCGGCAGAACUAAAAUCAUCAAAAUUCAGAGAUGCUUCUGAACUGCUUGCAAUUACAGUUGUUUCCUCGUGGUCCCUCAACUUAGAUACUGGAGGGCCAUUUGGUUCAGGACCCGUGGACAAAUCUUCAAUAAUUUCACCAUUAUUUGGAUCUGUGAUAUCUUGAUGAUUAGCAGAUACGUUUUUGGAGUUGGCAAUUUCAACCUCACGAGCAUCCUGUUUUGCAGCCUCGUCUUCUUGAUGGGCAGAAACAGCAACAGCCUCCGAACAAGGUACAACUGCACUCUGAGUAGUCUGAUCAUUCAUUUCAACCACGACAACCUGCUCAGAUUGAAGAGUUUUUUCACUAGAGCUUCCAACUAAUUCCAUGGUUUCCUGCACUGCCAUGUCCUUUUCUUCCUCAGAACCACUUUCACAUGAGGAUCCACCCGAACCAUCCCCACUUUUACCAAAGUUAACAGAGUCUGAACUCCCUUCAGUGUCCUUAUUUAAAUCAGAUCGACCAACAUUCAAGAUGACUGAUUUCUCACUUUCCUCUUCAUUUUCAGUGUCGUCCUCAUCCGAAUCAUCGCUGUCACUUUCACCCAUUUUCCUCUUGCCCAUCCAGAUUUUCAACUUUUUGGCAUCUGCACCAAUGGCCAUCGAACCAGCCUUCCUUUUUCCAUUCAUCACCGCAUCUCUCACAGAUUCCUCCACCUCAGCCACACAACGAGCAGACUCCUCCCGAUACUUCUCAACGUACUUUUGAGCCGCAGAAUCCCCAACCCCCUUCUUCCCAACCUUCGCUUUCUUCUUCAGAAACUC